This 71-nucleotide transfer RNA is filed under the name Bulbochaete rectangularis var. hiloensis. Its description in RNAcentral is "tRNA-Trp". It matches the Rfam family "tRNA". From Rfam's summary of the family: Transfer RNA (tRNA) molecules are approximately 80 nucleotides in length. Their secondary structure includes four short double-helical elements and three loops (D, anti-codon, and T loops). Lineage: Eukaryota; Viridiplantae; Chlorophyta; Chlorophyceae; Oedogoniales; Oedogoniaceae. The record is from RNAcentral.
GAGAGGAUAGUUCAAAGGUAGAACGUUGGUUUCCAAAACCUAAGAUGAGGGUUCAAGUCCUUCUUCUCUCG